GAAGUCAAAACAUCCACAAAAAUUAGAGGGGAAGAGAAAAUAAAUUUACCAAAUUAAGCCCAUGACACAUGUUGAGACUUCACCUUCAACCCAAGCUUGAAAGAAAAUUAGCCACUCAUAGUUGAACUAGGGGCAAAAUAGGAAUUUAUUAAAAUACGAAGAAAAUACAAGAUGGAGAGGGAAUUACAGAAAAUGGAUCCCAAAAAUGGAUUCAGAGAUAUCAAAUUAGGGGGGGGAGGCCCCCUUUUUAUAGAUACAUGGAGUAAAUCAUGGCCAUCGGAUUAAAAACAGUUUGGACGCUCAGGAUUGCGCCACGUCAUCAGUCAAUAGUCCACGGUUUGACCACGCGGAUGAACAGUAACACGGUUUGACCCGGAUGAACAGUAACGCGGUUUGGUUGAAAAUAAUCCUGUGUGAUGCAUGCACCGUACGCGAGAUUUUUCGUCCACUGAUAUGCUGCCACGUCAUCAUCAACAGUACAUAAGAAUUUUAGUCCAACAGGAUCGUGACACCUCAUCAGUCAAUGCCACAUCAUCGGUCAAUGCCACGUCAUCAUCCGUCUAUGUGAACAGUGUCGUGAACAGUAACGUAUACAGUACCGUACACGUGAAUAGUACCGUACAUGUGAAUAGUGCCAUUUUUCCUUUUAUGCUCCUCCUAAGGUUUUCGACCGUCCUGAGUUCAAAAGUGAUGUCCGUUUUGCCGUCUGAUCUCUCAUUUAUUGUGAAAUGACUAUAAUGCCCCUAAAAUACAUAAAAUACUUAAUUAAAAUAAAACACAUGUAAUUAAAUCACAAGAAGGUUAAAUAUAUAAAAGUAAGGGUUGUUAGUAAGACUUAAAAUGUAAAAUGACGGUUUUCUCCUUUAUAAAUAUGCAUUUUC
Molecule: long non-coding RNA, 881 nt
Filed under: Citrus x clementina
Lineage: Eukaryota; Viridiplantae; Streptophyta; Magnoliopsida; Sapindales; Rutaceae
Description: Citrus clementina (C. clementina) long non-coding RNA (CCLE_LNC004023)
Source: RNAcentral